GGCUCAGAACGAACGCUGGCGGCAGGCUUAACACAUGCAAGUCGAGCGCGUGUAGCAAUACACGAGCGGCGCACGGGUGAGUAACGCGUGGAUAUCUGCCUUUUGGUUCGGAAUAACCCCGGGAAACUGGGGCUAAUACCGAAUGGUUCCUACGGGAUAAAGAUUUAUCGCCAAAAGAUGAGUCCGCGUCCGAUUAGCUAGUUGGUGAGGUAACGGCCCACCAAGGCGACGAUCGGUAGCUGGUCUGAGAGGAUGAUCAGCCUCACUGGGACUGAGACACGGCCCAGACUCCUACGGGAGGCAGCAGUGGG
Molecule: ribosomal RNA, 311 nt
Filed under: uncultured Alphaproteobacteria bacterium
Lineage: Bacteria; Pseudomonadati; Pseudomonadota; Alphaproteobacteria
Description: bacterial SSU rRNA
Rfam family: Bacterial small subunit ribosomal RNA
Source: RNAcentral